Molecule: long non-coding RNA, 1437 nt
Filed under: Homo sapiens (human)
Lineage: Eukaryota; Metazoa; Chordata; Mammalia; Primates; Hominidae
Description: long intergenic non-protein coding RNA 1471
Source: RNAcentral
AAUGCAGAGGUGGGGGACAGAGUGGGUGGGGAGGGGAGCCGCCAUACAGUGGCCAGGACCAGCUUUGCCCAAGUGGUGGCAACCGCAUGACCACAGGAACGAUGGCGUGAGCCCCGUGGCAACCUGGAGGAAGGGAAAUAAUCCAGGAUCCAUUUCGUGUGGUCAUCUUGUCUCCCUGGUCCCCUCCAGCCUUUCCUCAUCUUUUGUGACCUGGUCACUCUGGAAGGGCGCUGGCCAGUUAGUCCACAGGAUGGGCCUCCCCUGGGGCUUUUCUGAUGCUUCCUUAUGAUGGCACUGGCAUCCUGAGGGGGAGGACCACAGAGAGGAGGUGCUCCUCAUCACACCACAUGGGGGUCCAUGCACCAGUGCCACUGCUUUCCAGGGCUCUUCACCUUCAUCACUGGUGGAGGUGGCGUCUGCCAAGAAGCAGAAAGUUGAGGCUUAGAAGGUGCACGGCCCUACCUCUUCCGAGGUGCCCCUGCGGGCUGUCUACAGACCAGGCAGCACAUGCCUGAUAGCAGCUGCAUAAGGAAAAGCAGGAGCCAGCUCGUGCACAGUGGCCUCAAGUGUGCACUGGGCAUGUUCUCUGCCUCACCAUCCCUGUGUGACAGAUGAAGCUUCAAGGACCACAGAGGGCCAAGUGCAGGAGUAAGAGGCUGGCGUGCUGACAGUGGCCAAGGGCAUUGGAGGGAAGGACCUGUCAUCACUGGGCCAAGGAAGGAACUCCAGACUGCCUACUUCCAGAGGGCCUGCUGAGGAAUUUUAGCUUGAACUUGCCUGCCUUGACUAGGGCUUUCUGAGCAGCAGAUGAUUCUGCAAUGGUGUUAGUCCAGGCCUGGUUCUGCAUGACAUUGACCAUACUGUGCACCCUGGGGUCAUUAUGUCUUGGGCUUCAAGGGGCUCCAUGGGCUCCAGGGGGCUCCAUGUGACACUGCACAGAGCUCUCUCUAGGUCACCUGGAUGUGUCUCUUCCUAGGAACCCCAAAGAGCUCUCUCAACAAACACACCCACGAGUUCCAGGAGUGAGGCUGCAGGGAACAGCCUCACUCUCAGAGGGGAUACAGAAUUGUUCCACUGGACAAGGGCUGGGAUCGUCAUAGGAUGCCGUUGGCCUGUGGUUUCCAACAGAGGUGCAGUUCAUUGAACUGUGGUCUACAGUCCAUUCUCUAACUUGGGGACCCUUGAAGAAGUGUGGAAUCAUGACAACAACCCUGUUGGGAGACACUAUUAUUCCCAUCACAUGGAUGAGCACACGGAGGCAAAAGGAAGUUAUAUGAUUGUCUGAGAUCACCCAGUGAAGACUGUGUGGCUGGGAGUUGUCCCCAGUGUUAUCUGCACGCUGCUUCCUUUUGAUGCCUGGCCCUUCUUUAUCAAAAGAAGCAUUGGCAGAAUCUGGGUGUUUAUGGGUCAGCUCAAAAUAAAUUACUUUAUAUGUCA